RNAcentral lists this ribosomal RNA (904 nucleotides) under uncultured archaeon. Its description in RNAcentral is "bacterial SSU rRNA". It matches the Rfam family "Archaeal small subunit ribosomal RNA", at positions 1 to 912 of the family's 1478-position model. The record is from RNAcentral.
UUCCGGUUGAUCCCGCCGGACCUGACUGCUAUCGGAUUGAUACUAAGCCAUGCGAGUCAUUGUAGCAAUACAAGGCAGACGGCUCAGUAACGCGUAGUCAACCUAACCUAUGGACGGGAAUAACCUCGGGAAACUGAGAAUAAUGCCCGAUAGAACACUAUAUCUGGAAUGGUUUGUGUUCCAAAGGAUUUAUCGCCGUAGGAUGGGACUGCGGCCUAUCAGUUUGUUGGUGAGGUAAUGGCCCACCAAGACUAUUACAGGUACGGGCUCUGAGAGGAGUAGCCCGGAGAUGGGUACUGAGACACGGACCCAGGCCCUAUGGGGCGCAGCAGGCGAGAAAACUUUGCAAUGUGCGAAAGCACGACAAGGUUAAUCCGAGUGGUUUCUGCUAAAGGAACCUUUUGUCGGUCCUAGAAACACCGAUGAAUAAGGGGUGGGCAAGUUCUGGUGUCAGCCGCCGCGGUAAAACCAGCACCUCAAGUGGUCAGGAUGAUUAUUGGGCCUAAAGCAUCCGUAGCCUGCUUUGUUAGUUUUCGGUUAAAUCUAUACGCUCAACGUAUAGGCUGCCGGGAAUACUGCAAAGCUAGGGAGUGGGAGAGGUAGACGGUACUCGGUAGGAAGGGGUAAAAUCCUUUGAUCUAUUGAUGACCACCUGUGGCGAAGGCGGUCUACCAGAACACGUCCGACGGUGAGGGAUGAAAGCUGGGGGAGCAAACCGGAUUAGAUACCCGGGUAGUCCCAGCCGUAAACCAUGCAAACUCAGUGAUGCAUUGGCUUGUGGCCAAUGCAGUGCUGCAGGGAAGCCGUUAAGUUUGCCGCCUGGGAAGUACGUACGCAAGUAUGAAACUUAAAGGAAUUGGCGGGGGAGCACCACAAGGGGUGAAGCCUGCGGUUCAAUUGGAUU